RNAcentral lists this ribosomal RNA (376 nucleotides) under Listeria monocytogenes. RNAcentral's name for it is "partial 23S ribosomal RNA". It matches the Rfam family "Bacterial large subunit ribosomal RNA", at positions 2550 to 2925 of the family's 2925-position model. The record is from RNAcentral. Lineage: Bacteria; Bacillati; Bacillota; Bacilli; Caryophanales; Listeriaceae.
GGGCUGUAGUCGGUCCCAAGGGUUGGGCUGUUCGCCCAUUAAAGCGGUACGCGAGCUGGGUUCAGAACGUCGUGAGACAGUUCGGUCCCUAUCCGUCGCGGGCGCAGGAAAUUUGAGAGGAGCUGUCCUUAGUACGAGAGGACCGGGAUGGACGCACCGCUGGUGUACCAGUUGUUCUGCCAAGGGCAUCGCUGGGUAGCUAUGUGCGGACGGGAUAAGUGCUGAAAGCAUCUAAGCAUGAAGCCCCCCUCAAGAUGAGAUUUCCCAUUCCGCAAGGAAGUAAGAUCCCUGAAAGAUGAUCAGGUUGAUAGGUCUGAGGUGGAAGUGUGGCGACACAUGGAGCUGACAGAUACUAAUCGAUCGAGGACUUAACCAU